AAGGUGUUAGUAAAAUUUUAUAUAACUUUGUCAAAGUUAAGUUAUAGGUUAAACCCCUAUACAUCUUA
The sequence is a transfer RNA, 68 nucleotides long. It matches the Rfam family "tRNA". Rfam says of the family: Transfer RNA (tRNA) molecules are approximately 80 nucleotides in length. Their secondary structure includes four short double-helical elements and three loops (D, anti-codon, and T loops).